Molecule: ribosomal RNA, 416 nt
Filed under: uncultured Pseudomonadota bacterium
Lineage: Bacteria; Pseudomonadati; Pseudomonadota
Description: bacterial SSU rRNA
Rfam family: Bacterial small subunit ribosomal RNA
Source: RNAcentral
UGGGGAAUAUUGGACAAUGGGGGCAACCCUGAUCCAGCAAUGCCGCGUGUGUGAAGAAGGCCUUCGGGUUGUAAAGCACUUUUAUCGGGAACGAAACAUUGUCGGCCAAUACCCGGCAAGACUGACGGUACCCGAGGAAUAAGCACCGGCUAACUCCGUGCCAGCAGCCGCGGUAAUACGGAGGGUGCAAGCGUUAAUCGGAAUUACUGGGCGUAAAGCGUGCGCAGGCGGUUUGUUAAGUCCGCUGUGAAAUCCCCGAGCUCAACUUGGGAAUUGCAGUGGAUACUGGCAGGCUGGAGUACGGUAGAGGAAGGUGGAAUUCCCGGUGUAGCAGUGAAAUGCGUAGAGAUCGGGAGGAACACCAGUGGCGAAGGCGGCCUUUCUUGGACCAGUACUGACGCUCAUGCACGAAAAGC